This 497-nucleotide ribosomal RNA is filed under the name uncultured bacterium. RNAcentral describes it as "partial 16S ribosomal RNA". It matches the Rfam family "Bacterial small subunit ribosomal RNA", at positions 28 to 507 of the family's 1533-position model. The record is from RNAcentral.
GACGAACGCUGGCGGCGUGCCUAAUACAUGCAAGUCGAACGCUAAAGAGAGGAGCUUGCUCUUCUUGGAUGAGUUGCGGACGGGUGAGUAACGCGUAGGUAACCUGCCUUGUAGCGGGGGAUAACUAUUGGAAACGAUAUCUAAUACCGCAUAACAUUUGAUGACCCAUGUCAUUUAUUUGAAAGGAGCAAAUGCUCCACUACAAGGUGGACCUGCGUUGUAUUAGCUAGUAGGUGAGGUAACAGGUCACCUAGGCGAGGAUACAUAGCCGACCUGAGAGGGUGAUCGGCCAAACUGGGACUGAGACACGGCCCAGACUACUACGGGAGGCAGCCGUAGGGAAUCCUCGGCAAUGGGGGCAACCCUGAACGAGCAACGCCGCGGGAGUGAAGAAGGGUGUCGGAUCGUAAAGGUCUGGUGUAAGUCAAGAACGAGUGUGAGAGUUGAAAGUUCACACUGUGACGGUAGCUGAACAGAAAGCGACGGCUAACUACGUG